UGAAUACGAGACGCUAAGGCGUCGAAGUAGUGUAUGUCAUACUUCCAAGAAAAGCUUGCACUGUCAUAGAUAAAAAACGCCUGUACCAUAACCGACACAGGUGGGUAGGUAGAGUAUACUAAGGGGCGCGAGAUAACUCUCUCUAAGGAACUCGGCAAAAUAACUCCGUAACUUCGGGAGAAGGAGUGCCUUAUUCGUAAGGUUGCAAUAACAAGAUCCAAGCAACUGUUUAUCAAAAACACAGGUCUCCGCUAAGUCGUAAGACGAUGUAUGGGGGCUGACGCCCGCCCAGUGCCAGAAGGUUAAAGAAGUUGGUUAGCAAUUGCGAAGCUGAUAACUGAAGCCCUGGUGAACGGCGGCCGUAACUAUAACGGUCCUAAGGUAGCGAAAUUCCUUGUCGGGUAAGUUCCGACCCGCACGAAAGGCGUAAUGAUUUGGAUACUGUCUCGGAGAGGGGCUCGGUGAAAUAGACUUGUCUGUGAAGAUGCGGACUACCUGCACCAGGACAGAAAGACCCUAUGAAGCUUUACUGUAACUUGAAAUUGAAAUUGGACUUUAUUCGCGCAGUAUAGGUGGGAGGCGUUGAUUAUAAUCUUGUGGGAUUAUUGGAGCCAUCAGUGAGAUACCACUCUUGUAAUGUUAGAUUUCUAACUUUGAAUCAUUAUCUGGUCAAAGAACAGUUUCAGGCGGGCAGUUUGACUGGGGCGGUCGCCUCCUAAACGGUAACGGAGGCGUACAAAGGUUUCCUCUGAACGGUUAGAAAUCGUAUCUAGAGUGUAAAGGCAUAAGGAAGCUUGACUGUGAGACCUACAAGUCGAGCAGGGACGAAAGUCGGUCUUAGUGAUCUGACGGUACUGAGUGGAAAGGCCGUCACUCAACGGAUAAAAGUUACUCUAGGAUAACAGGCUGAUCUCCCCCAAGAGUUCACAUCGACGGGGAGGUUUGGCACCUCGAUGUCGGCUCAUCGCAUCCUGGGGCGGUAGUACGUCCCAAGGGUUGGGCUGUUCGCCCAUGAAAGCGGUACGCGAGCUGGGUUCAGAACGUCGUGAGACAGUUCGGUCCAUAUCCGGUGUAGGCGUUAGAAUAUUGAGAGGAGCCUUCUUUAGUACGAGAGGACCGAGAAGGACAUACCUCUGGUGUACCAGUUAUCGUGCCAACGGUAAACGCUGGGUAGCUAUGUAUGGAGUGGAUAACCGCUGAAAGCAUCUAAGUGGGAAGCCCACCUCAAGAUAAG
RNAcentral lists this ribosomal RNA (1234 nucleotides) under metagenome. Its description in RNAcentral is "bacterial LSU rRNA". It matches the Rfam family "Bacterial large subunit ribosomal RNA", at positions 1564 to 2808 of the family's 2925-position model. The record is from RNAcentral.